AUGUACACAUCCAUGGCUAUUUGCUCAAGUGGAACAUCCAAACGGCCAACCUGUUCAUGGUGGAGGGGGCGAUGCCUGCUAAGUCCUCCAAUUCAUGCUCAGGUGCAACCUGGAAUCAUUGGGUUUAUGACAUUGGGUGGCAGUAUAAUUCUCAUGCUGACGACAAUUAUUUUUUUUGACGAGGAUUCAGUGGUUGUCUGUGGCAUGUGUUCAACUAGGAACUCGUCAUUAUUGGAGUCUUUUCAUCUGUAUAUACCAAAGCAAGGCGGGAGAAGAAGCAGAUUGAUUGAUGAAGGAAACACAUGA
Molecule: ribosomal RNA, 306 nt
Filed under: Triticum aestivum (bread wheat)
Lineage: Eukaryota; Viridiplantae; Streptophyta; Magnoliopsida; Poales; Poaceae
Description: partial small subunit ribosomal RNA
Source: RNAcentral